Rattus norvegicus (Norway rat) is the source of this 135-nucleotide small nucleolar RNA. Ensembl annotates it as small nucleolar RNA SNORA48. Lineage: Eukaryota; Metazoa; Chordata; Mammalia; Rodentia; Muridae. The record is from Ensembl.
UCUGGUAAUGGGCAAAGAGACACCUCGUUGUUGCUGGCGUUCUUAUAUUGGUGCUCAACAGAUGACAGUCCUUUGUUCAUCGUAGCUUGAUGCCUGGCUUGGCAGCAAAAGCUGUUUUAUGCCUAGGACUCAUAA